RNAcentral lists this ribosomal RNA (330 nucleotides) under uncultured bacterium. RNAcentral describes it as "bacterial SSU rRNA". It matches the Rfam family "Bacterial small subunit ribosomal RNA", at positions 568 to 898 of the family's 1533-position model. The record is from RNAcentral.
UGCGUAGGCGGUUUUCUAAGUCACGUGUGAAAUCUUCCGGCUCAACCGGAAAACUGCGCGUGAUACUGGAGAACUUGAGUGAGGUAGGGGUGUGUGGAACUUCCGGUGGAGCGGUGAAAUGUGUAGAGAUCGGAAGGAACGCCAGCAGCGAAAGCGGCACACUGGGCCUUUUCUGACGCUGAGGCACGAAAGCUAGGGGAGUGAACGGGAUUAGAUACCCCGGUAAUCCUAGCCGUAAACACUGAACACUGGAGGACGGGGGCUUCGGCCUUCGUUCUCGUAGCGAAAGCGUUAAGUGUUCCGCCUGGGGAGUAUGGUCGCAAGGCUGAA